Cherax quadricarinatus is the source of this 408-nucleotide non-coding RNA. The record is from RefSeq and is a predicted model, not a curated record. Lineage: Eukaryota; Metazoa; Arthropoda; Malacostraca; Decapoda; Parastacidae.
UGCGCAUUGCAUGUGUUGAUGUUAGUGAAGGAGUGAGGCAUUGUGGGAGCUGUGGCAGCGUUUGUUGUGAUCAUGUUAUGAUGAUAACUCUCGUCUGCCUUCUCUCCCUUCAUCACUGAGGACGUUAUCUCUGAUAACUAGGCAUGAGUCACCUGGAGAAUGGCUCUGUGGUGUGGGUGCGGCUGGGGCAAGCAUGGUGGCCAGGAACCAUCACCACCGUUGCCAAAUGCCCACCCGAGUAUAUCCAGGGACUCCGCAAGAUGCCUCUAGCCAUUGUUAAAUUUUUCCAUGAAAAUGAAUUUCAAGAUGUUCACAAAUCAGAGCACAUAUUCCCCAUAUAACUGUGAGCGCAAAGAAGAAUUCAUCAGGAGAGGACAAUGUAUCAACAGAAACCCAGAGUCAUGGAGA